Molecule: ribosomal RNA, 523 nt
Filed under: uncultured Bacteroidota bacterium
Lineage: Bacteria; Pseudomonadati; Bacteroidota
Description: bacterial SSU rRNA
Rfam family: Bacterial small subunit ribosomal RNA
Source: RNAcentral
AGAGUUUGAUCCUGGCUCAGGAUGAACGCUAGCGGCAGGCUUAACACAUGCAAGUCGAGGGGCAGCACGGGUAGCAAUACUUGGUGGCGACCGGCGCAAGGGUGCGUAACGCGUGAGCAACAUGCCCGUAUCAGGGGGAUAAUCCAGGGAAACUUGGUCUAAUACCCCAUAGUAAUCUUAGGAGGCAUCUUUUAGGAUUUAAAGCUUUGGUGGAUACGGAUUGGCUCGCGUGACAUUAGCUAGAUGGUAAGGUAACGGCUUACCAUAGCUAUGAUGUCUAGGGGUUCUGAGAGGAAGGUCCCCCACACUGGAACUGAGACACGGUCCAGACUCCUACGGGAGGCAGCAGUGAGGAAUAUUGGACAAUGGAUGGAAAUCUGAUCCAGCCAUGCCGCGUGAAGGAAGAAUGUCCUAUGGAUUGUAAACUUCUUUUGUAUGGGAGCAAUAAGGUCUUCGUGAAGACUGAUGAGAGUACCAUACGAAUAAGCAUCGGCUAACUCCGUGCCAGCCGCCGCGGUAAUUC